GCUUGCUUCUACUCCCCUAUCGUGGCCGAAAACUAUAACGGUCUAAAGAGCUUCCCCACUUGGCUACACAGUCGCAUCCUAACGAAGCUGCCCCGCAAUCAAGCUGUUCAAGCAUCCUGCGAAGUGCUAAACGAGCCGAUCCGUCUGCUAACUGAACGGCUAAAUUAAGGAGACGAGUACACGAUUCUCCAGAGGGAUCGAAGAAACCUGUCGCGAAUGCCGAUCGAAUUUUUGCGAUGAUGCUCUGCUGCAGCUCACCCUGUUACUUGAAUGUCGGCCUCAUCAGAAGUUGUGUCAGAGGCAGAAGAAUCCAACGCUUUCAGUGCCCGUAUCCUGCAGUCAGACUGAGAGCCUAUCUCAUAGUCCUCGUCCUUUUACUCAUCCAAUUCUUCUUUCGCUACUCAAUUCAAAAGCCAGGCACUGGAAUCACUCAUACUGCCUGCGUUCCAUCUUGACAUCGGAAUUUGGGUAUAUUUCAAUCUUUCACGCGCUUCAAAGUGUACACUUGUUACCGUACUAAUCAAGUGCUGUGAGGAUGAGCCAAAUUAUCUUAGACUGACUCUAUGCCAUUAAAGGUUUUGAUGUACUGCAUCUAGUAAAUAAUUCAAGGUGUGUCAAACCUUGAAUGAACAGGCUCUAGUUCCUGAAGUUCUGGUGCUAAUAAUGCCUAAACUUGUUCUUUAGGUGGGUAUUAUGGAUCAGCUCUGUAUCUUAUUAGAUACCUUGGCAAAAUGUGGUAGUGUUUGCUGAGUGGGUAAAAGGUUGUGCAGACUUAAGUCAAUGAAGGUCUGCAUGGGGACUUGGAAGUUCAGAGGUAGGUGCAGAUUAUAUACAGUACCAUGUUCUCAUAUGGGCUGAUGAUGGAAUAAAGGCUGAGAUACUUGCAAGCCAAUUACUUAGGUGGGCUGUCUCUUAACUAAUACAAACUUCAAAUGGGAGGCACAAGCCCACCAUUUCAGGGUC
Molecule: non-coding RNA, 963 nt
Organism: Physcomitrium patens
Lineage: Eukaryota; Viridiplantae; Streptophyta; Bryopsida; Funariales; Funariaceae
Source: RefSeq, a predicted model, not a curated record